RNAcentral lists this long non-coding RNA (222 nucleotides) under Elaeis guineensis (African oil palm). RNAcentral describes it as "long non-coding RNA (EGUI_LNC023847)". The record is from RNAcentral. Lineage: Eukaryota; Viridiplantae; Streptophyta; Magnoliopsida; Arecales; Arecaceae.
AGUGUAGCCUUCUAUGGGUUCAACUGAGCUAACAGUUGAUUUUGAGAGAUAAAAGAUAUAAAUUUUAUUUUUUUUAAUUUGAGUAAAAUAAAAUUUGGUAUGGAUUUUGUUCAGUUUAGAAAUCAAAGUUCUUCGAAAAUACCAAAGAGAUCAUAGCUAGAUAGUUAUUUGGAUGAUGAUGUACUUUUUGAUUUGAAAGACAAGCAAUUUGAUAUCUUGGCA